AGUGAACGCUGGCGGUAGGCCUAACACAUGCAAGUCGAACGGCAGCACAGAGGAGCUUGCUCCGUGGGUGGCGAGUGGCGGACGGGUGAGGAAUACAUCGGAAUCUACUCUGUCGUGGGGGAUAACGUAGGGAAACUUACGCUACUACCGCAUACGACCUACGGGGGAAAGCAGGGGAUCUUCGGACCUUGCUCGAUUGCAUUAGCCGAUGUCGGCUUAGCUAGUUGGCGGGGUAAAGGCCCACCAAGGCGCCGAUCCGUAGCUGGUCUGAGGGGAUGAUCAGCCACACUGGAACUGAGACACGGUCCAGACUCCUACGGGAGGCAGCAGUGGGGAAUAUUAGACAAUGGGCGCAAGCCUGAUCCAGCCAUACCGCGUGGGUGAAGAAGGCCUUCGGGUUGUAAAGCCCUUUUGUUGGGAAAGAAAUCCAUCUGGUUAAUACCCGGGUGGGAUGACGGUACCCAAAGAAUAAGCACCGGCUAACUUCGUGCCAGCCGCCGCCGUAA
Molecule: ribosomal RNA, 506 nt
Filed under: uncultured bacterium
Lineage: Bacteria
Description: partial 16S ribosomal RNA
Rfam family: Bacterial small subunit ribosomal RNA
Source: RNAcentral